AUCGGCUGCAAUGGAGUCGAUAUAAAAAGCAAAGCAAAGGCAAAGAGAAAUCUUUGAUAGAAGAACAGUCGGUUCAAGAAGAGCCGAGCUAAUUAGUGAAAGUGAAGAAUCGACUGAUGAAGCCGAGAUAUAUGCGGCUGGUAAAGAGCCACUUUCUUUAAAGAGAAAUCUUUGAUAGAAGAACAGUUGGUUCAAGAAGAGCCGAGCCAAUAGAGUAAAAGCAAAGAAUCGGCUGAUGAAGCCGAGGUAUAUACAGCUAGAAUGAUAAAGAGUCGCU
RNAcentral lists this long non-coding RNA (277 nucleotides) under Ananas comosus (pineapple). RNAcentral describes it as "long non-coding RNA (ACOM_LNC005614)". Lineage: Eukaryota; Viridiplantae; Streptophyta; Magnoliopsida; Poales; Bromeliaceae. The record is from RNAcentral.